This 82-nucleotide transfer RNA is filed under the name Candidatus Pacearchaeota archaeon. RNAcentral describes it as "tRNA-Ile". It matches the Rfam family "tRNA". Rfam says of the family: Transfer RNA (tRNA) molecules are approximately 80 nucleotides in length. The record is from RNAcentral. Lineage: Archaea; Nanobdellati.
GCCUCCGUAGCUUCAAGGGUAAAGCACCAGUCUAAUAAACUGGGUCUACACAGACAUUCGGGUUCGAAUCCCGGCGGAGGCG